AUUCAUAACCCUGUUGGGCAUUUGAUUUGAAAUCAGAUUGAUUGUUUUUAUUAACAAUAUGAGUU
RNAcentral lists this transfer RNA (65 nucleotides) under Rhabdotobothrium anterophallum. RNAcentral describes it as "tRNA-Ser". Lineage: Eukaryota; Metazoa; Platyhelminthes; Cestoda; Rhinebothriidea; Rhinebothriidae. The record is from RNAcentral.